This 253-nucleotide ribosomal RNA is filed under the name uncultured bacterium. Its description in RNAcentral is "partial 16S ribosomal RNA". It matches the Rfam family "Bacterial small subunit ribosomal RNA", at positions 524 to 776 of the family's 1533-position model. The record is from RNAcentral.
CACGUACCGGACAAACGUUAUUCGGAAUUACUGGGCUUAAAGAGUACGUAGGCGGUCUGGUAGGUGGGGUGUGAAAGCCCACGGCUCAACCGUGGAAUUGCGCUCCAAACCAUCAGACUUGAGGGAGACAGGGGUGAGCGGAACAAAUGGUGGAGCGGUGAAAUGCGUUGAUAUCAUUUGGAACACCGGUGGCGAAAGCACUUUACUGGGCUAUUACUAACACUCAGAGACGAAAGCUAGGGUAGCAGAUGGG